GGCGAGUGAAGCGGCAAAAGCUCAAAUUUGAAAUCUAGCACUUUCAGUGUUCGAGUUGUAAUUUGAAGAAGGUAACUUUGGAAUUGGCUCUUGUCUAUGUUCCUUGGAACAGGACGUCACAGAGGGUGAGAAUCCCGUGCGAUGAGAUGUCCAAUUCUAUGUAAAGUGCUUUCGAAGAGUCGAGUUGUUUGGGAAUGCAGCUCUAAGUGGGUGGUAAAUUCCAUCUAAAGCUAAAUAUUGGCGAGAGACCGAUAGCGAACAAGUACAGUGAUGGAAAGAUGAAAAGAACUUUGAAAAGAGAGUGAAAAAGUACGUGAAAUUGUUGAAAGGGAAGGGCUUGAGAUCAGACUUGGUAUUUUGUGUUCCUUAUUCUUUUUGGAUUUGGUUCCUCACAGCUUACCGGGCCAGCAUCGGUUUGGAUGGUAGGAUAAUGACAUUGGAAUGUAGCUUUGCUUCGGUGAAGUGUUAUAGACUUUGUUGAUACUGCCUAUCUAGACCGAGGACUGCGUCUUUGACUAGGAUGCUGGCGUAAUGAUCUUAAGCCGCCCGUCUU
This 553-nucleotide ribosomal RNA is filed under the name Dujonia oleophila. RNAcentral's name for it is "[Candida] oleophila partial large subunit ribosomal RNA". It matches the Rfam family "Eukaryotic large subunit ribosomal RNA", at positions 88 to 655 of the family's 3401-position model. Lineage: Eukaryota; Fungi; Ascomycota; Pichiomycetes; Serinales; Debaryomycetaceae. The record is from RNAcentral.